This 791-nucleotide long non-coding RNA is filed under the name Homo sapiens (human). Its description in RNAcentral is "HSALNT0405917". The record is from RNAcentral. Lineage: Eukaryota; Metazoa; Chordata; Mammalia; Primates; Hominidae.
CCAGCCUGGGUGACAUGAGCAAAAUUCCAUCUCAAAAAAGAAAAAAAAAUGUAUAUAUUUGGGGGCACUCACUAGGCGACAGGCACUAUUUUAGAUUCCAGGGAUACCAUGGUGAACAAAGCAAAGUUCCUGUCCCCAUGGAGCUCAUAUCUAGCUGGGAAAUGUGGUAGUUUUAAGACAUGUCUGCAAAUUCUUUCAUCUUUUUCUCAUCAAGAUGUGGGUUCUCUAUUCCUCACCUUGAACCUGGGCCCACCUUAAUGAUUGGUUGGUCACCAGCAUAAAGAGGAAGUGAUAUUCUGUGACUUCCAGGCUGGGCCAUAGAAGCCAGGCAGUUUCCUCUUGGUUCCCUGGAUCACUUGCACUGGAGCUGCCACGUAAGAAGUCUGACCAUCCCGAGGCCUCUAUGCUGUGAGGAAGCCCAAAUUAGUCCACAUGGAGAUGCCCUGAGUCUACAAGAAAAGAGAGGACAGACAGAGAUGCUCCUCUAGACACCAUUUCGCUGAAACCACAUGAGGGUUCACCAAGCCAAGACCGCUGAGCUGAGCCUUUCCCAGGUUCCUGACCACAGAAACCAUAAGAGAUAAUAACGUGAUUGAUGGUGGCCAGACACAGUGACUCACACCUGAAAUCCCAGCACUUUGGGAGGCUGAGGUGAGAGAAUUGCUUCAGGCCAGGAGUUUGAGACCAGCCUAGGCAACAUGGGGUGAUCUUAUCUCUACAAAAAAGUCUAAAUAUUAACCAGAUGUGAUGGCAAGAGUCCAAUCUCAGAAGGUAUGAAUGGCUAAGACGUC